UUCUAGCCUCACUCCUGAUGUAACCGGUACAACAGUCAGAUCAUCAUCAUAGGUUUAUCUUUUUGAGGAAGAAUUUCACGGAAGAAAUUCUUCAUAAAGAUCUUGAUGAAGGUAGUAGCAGUGCUCUGUCAUGGUCAUUAAGCUUUUUGGACGUAGGUGAACUUAAGGUCAAAGUAGUUGAAAACGUGAAAGUAUACCAGUGUUCAAAAAGAAACAAAUAUAAGAAAUACAUCCACCUAUAAUGCUAUAACAGCAUCAUUCUCAGAAUUUAACAUAGGACCUCACAAUGAAUGCAUUGAGAAGGAAAGUGCUUGGUCAGAAAGAAAUGACAGUAACAGGACAGUGAAGUUUGUGGGCUCAAUGCAAUAAUGAUUUGCUCUAAACUCAUGUGAGAAAUGUGGUGAACACUAAUAAGUUUACGAUGACUUUACAGCAGCUGUUUUCCAUGUGGUGACUGUUUCAAUCUUAAAGUUUCACCAAGUUAAAGUGAGGUCACCUUACCCUCUA
Long non-coding RNA from Chinchilla lanigera (long-tailed chinchilla), 507 nucleotides. RefSeq lists it as uncharacterized. The record is from RefSeq and is a predicted model, not a curated record. The transcript is spliced from 3 exons. Lineage: Eukaryota; Metazoa; Chordata; Mammalia; Rodentia; Chinchillidae.